GAUUAAGUUAUUAAGGGCGCACGGUGGAUGCCUUGGCACUAGAAGCCGAAGAAGGACGUUACUAACGACGAUAUGCUUUGGGGAGCUGUAAGUACGCUUUGAUCCAGAGAUUUCCGAAUGGGGAAACCCAGCAUGAGUUAUGUCAUGUUAUCCGCAUAUGAAUACAUAGUAUGUGAGAAGGCACACCCGGAGAACUGAAACAUCUUAGUACCCGGAGGAAGAGAAAGAAAACUCGAUUCCCUGAGUAGCGGCGAGCGAAACGGGAAGAGCCCAAACCAAUAGGCUUGCCUAUUGGGGUUGUAGGACACUCUAUACGGAGUUACAAAGGAAAUGAUUAGACGAAUGGUUUUGGAAAAGCCAACCAUAGAAGGUAAAGGUCCUGUAGUCGAAAGUCAUUUCUCUCCUGAGUGGAUCCUGAGUACGGCGGAACACGUGAAAUUCCGUCGGAAUCUGGGAGGACCAUCUCCCAAGGCUAAAUACUCUCUAGUGACCGAUAGUGAACCAGUACCGUGAGGGAAAGGUGAAAAGCACCCCGGAAGGGGAGUGAAAUAGAACCUGAAACCGUGUGCUUACAAAUAGUCAGAGCCCGUUAAUGGGUGAUGGCGUGCCUUUUGUAGAAUGAACCGGCGAGUUACGAUUUGAUGCAAGGUUAAGCAGUAAAUGUGGAGCCGUAGCGAAAGCGAGUCUGAAUAGGGCGAAUGAGUAUCUGGUCGUAGACCCGAAACCAAGUGAUCUACCCAUGUCCAGGUUGAAGUUCAGGUAACACUGAAUGGAGGACCGAACCGACUUACGUUGAAAAGUGAGCGGAUGAGGUGUGGGUAGCGGAGAAAUUCCAAUCGAACUUGGAGAUAGCUGGUUCUCUCCGAAAUAGCUUUAGGGCUAGCCUCAAGUGAUGAUUAUUGGAGGUAGAGCACUGUUUGGACGAGGGGCCCCUCUCGGGUUACCGAAUUCAGACAAACUCCGAAUGCCAAAUAAUUUAACUUGGGAGUCAGACUAUGGGUGAUAAGGUCCGUAGUCGAAAGGGAAACAGCCCAGACCACCAGCUAAGGUCCCAAAAUAUAUGUUAAGUGGAAAAGGAUGUGGCGUUGCCCAGACAACUAGGAUGUUGGCUUAGAAGCAGCCAUCAUUUAAAGAGUGCGUAAUAGCUCACUAGUCGAGUGACACUGCGCCGAAAAUGUACCGGGGCUAAACAUAUUACCGAAGCUGUGGAUUAUCCGUAAGGAUAAUGGUAGGAGAGCGUUCUAAACGUGUCGAAGCAUGAUCGUAAGGACAUGUGGAAUGUUUAGAAGUGAGAAUGCCGGUGUGAGUAGCGAAAGAUGGGUGAGAAUCCCAUCCACCGAUUGACUAAGGUUUCCAGAGGAAGGCUCGUCCGCUCUGGGUUAGUCGGGACCUAAGCCGAGGCCGAUAGGCGUAGGCGAUGGAUAACAGGUAGAUAUUCCUGUACCACCUAUGAUUGUUUGA
Non-coding RNA from Staphylococcus aureus C0673, 1461 nucleotides. NCBI's taxonomy places the organism in Bacteria, Bacillati, Bacillota, Bacilli, Caryophanales, Staphylococcaceae. The record is from Rfam.